UACGGAGGGGGCUAGCGUUGUUCGGAAUUACUGGGCGUAAAGCGCGCGCAGGCGGCUAUCCAAGUCAGUGGUGAAAGCCCGGAGCUCAACUUCGGAACUGCCAUUGAAACUGUUUAGCUUGAGGACGAGAGAGGUGAGUGGAAUUCCCAGUGUAGAGGUGAAAUUCGUAGAUAUUGGGAAGAACACCGGUGGCGAAGGCGGCUCACUGGCUCGUAUCUGACGCUCAGGCGCGAUAGCGUGGGGAUCAAACAGG
This 253-nucleotide ribosomal RNA is filed under the name uncultured bacterium. RNAcentral's name for it is "partial 16S ribosomal RNA". It matches the Rfam family "Bacterial small subunit ribosomal RNA", at positions 524 to 776 of the family's 1533-position model. The record is from RNAcentral.